RNAcentral lists this long non-coding RNA (3747 nucleotides) under Sus scrofa (pig). RNAcentral's name for it is "lncRNA (ENSSSCG00035054813.1)". Lineage: Eukaryota; Metazoa; Chordata; Mammalia; Artiodactyla; Suidae. The record is from RNAcentral.
GAGGACGCGAAUACUGGCCUGAGAGCUGGGCGGUCGGAGCGGUGCAGAGACGGCCUGCGCUGCAUGCUGGGACUUGUAGUCUCGAAGCAGGAGAAGACCACGUGGUCGCGGUGCUUUAGGGGGCAAGGCGUUGGAGGCUGCUGGGCUACUCUGCAUGCAGUUGGUGUGGGCGUCGGGACCGUGUCUCGGGAACCAGCUCUUACCUCUUACAGCUGAGCGGGGUUGCGAACUCCCUGGGUGCGGGAUGUUCCACCUAAAACUCAAGCUGGGACAUGCGGAUCACCUCAUUAGGACCCAGGGAAAGUGUAAAGCAUGGUCCCUACUACUAAAAAGAAGACCACCUGGGAUAACAGGACAACUACAGGUGAACACCAGUGAAUAAUCCAAAAUCACGACAUGCAAAACCGUCUUAACAGGAGAGCUCAGAGGAAAAGGAAGUCAAUGAAGGAUGGAGAAAUGCAUGGAGAAGCUGCAUUUGAGGUCUGGAUGCAGAUGAAUGAAGGCAGGGGAAGAACAACGACAACAACAAAAAACCGCUAAGCAAAUUGAACAUCAUUUUUGUCCCACCUGAAUCCAAAGCAGAUUAAAAGGGCUUGGAAAAAUACAUUGUAAAACCUCACACCCAUUAGGAUGGCCACUAUAAAAAAUAAUAACAAGCAUCCACAAGUGCUGGAACUCUUGUACACUGUUGAUGGGAAUGUAAACUGGUACAGUUGCUCUGAGAAACAGUAUGGUGGUUUCUCACAAAAAGAUCGUAUUGCCGUAUAGUCCAGCAAUUCCACUUCUGGGUAUAUGCCUAAAAGAAUUAAAAGCAGAGUCCGAAAGCAGUAUUUGUAAACCCAUGUUCAUAACAGUGUUAUUCAUAAUACUUAGAAUGCGGAAGCAACCCAUGUGAUCAUGGAUGGAUGCAUAAGCACGGGCACACACGCACGUGUUACUCAGCUUUCAAAAGGAAGGAAAUUCUGCAGUACGCUACCACAUGGAUGAACCUUGAGGACGUUGUGAUAAAUGAAAUAAGCCAAAAUGAGCCAAUCACAAAACAACAAACACUGUAUGAUUGCACCUAGAUGAGGUACUCAGCCUAGUCAGAAUCAUACAGAAAGUAGAAUGGUGAUUGCCAGAGGCUGGGGACGAGGAGGAAGGGAGAGCUGUUUAAAGAGGAUAAUGUUUCGGUUUUGCAAGAUGAAAACAGUUUAGGAGAGGCUGGUGGUGAUGUUACGACAUGGAUGUUACUUACUACUUCUGAGCUGUAUACACUUGAAAAUAGUUUUAAGAUGUAAAUUCUAUGUGUAUUUUACCAUAUUUUUUUUUCUUUUUAGGGCCAGACUUGUGGCAUAUGGAAGUUCCCAGGCUCGGGGUCAAAUCAGAGCUAACAGCUGCCAGCCUACACCACAGCCACAGCACCGUGGGACCUGAGCUACAUCUGUUAACUACACCACAGCUCACAGCAAUGCCAGAUCCCCGACCCACUGAGUGAGGCCAGGGAUUGAACUCGCAUCUCAUGGAUACUAGUUGGAUUCAUUUCCGCUGAGCCACAAUGGGAACCCCCUAUUUUACCAUAAUUUUUAAAGUCAAGGAAGAACCACCCCAGCAACACAGAUAUUAACAGUGACAGCAAGAACACUGAAUGUAGUUUCAAGUUUCUUAGUAAGGUUGUUUUUGUCCCUAAAGUGUACAGGUAUACUGUCAGAAUCCUCUGAUUUAAAAGCGCUUUAAGUAUUUCUUCUCCAAGGAGUUGUACCACAAACUUGAUACCAGGUUGCUUUCAAUUUGUAGAAACAGCUUUAUUUUUAGGGUUUUUAUUCAAUUUUGUCUUUUAGGAGUUUUCGUUGUGGCUUAGUGGUAACAAGCCCAAUUAGUAUCCAUGGGGACAUGGGUUCGAUCCCUGGCCUAAGUGGGUUAAGUAUCUGGUGUUGCCGUGAGCGAUGGUGUAGGCUGCAGACGCAGCUUGGAUCCUAUGUUGCUGUGGCUGUGGUGUAGGCCAGCAGCUCUAGCUCCUAUUCGACCCCUAGCCUGGGAACUUCCAUAUGCUGCAGGUGUGGCCAAAUAAAGAGUGUACAAUGCUUUCAAUUAAUUUUUAUUUAAAUUUUUUUUCUAAAAUUCUUUUGGCAGUUAAAUGGUAUUCCUUUUGGAACAAGAAAAAUAAUGCAAAAGAUAUAUAUUUUAAAAUGUAUACAAAAGUUUUCAUAUGUCAGGAAUUUUUUCAGGUGCCUCUGAUUACUGGCAUCAAGAGAAAAUAUAUUCUUCUGUUGGUUUAAAUUGAAGCGUAGGCCGGCGGCUACAGCUCUGAUUCGACCCCUAGUCUGGGAAUCUGCCGCGGGGACAGACCUAGAAAAGGCAAAAAGACAAAAAUAAUAAUAAUAAAAUAAAUAAAUUGAAGUGUAAAAUAUGGUGUCUAUAUUAUCACAAAAGUGACAUGUGGAGUGAGAAGAAAAAUCUAGAGGUGGGUGGUCCUUGUGGCUUUCUUCACUGUCCUGCUGGGGAAGGGACCCGGUUUAACUUACAGACCCUCACUCCACUCUUAGGGGCCAGGGAGCACCCUACCUCUCCUGCAGCUCUCCUGGCUGAUGGCUGAUAUGUUAUGAUCCCAGGGUAGCAGUGGCAUUGCACUAAGAGGAGAAAAUUGCCUUGGGGUUUAAAUUGAAGUAGGCGACAAAAGACCAGCUCCACCUAACCACUGGUGUGUGAACACAGUGAGGAGCACCAGAAACUUAAGAGAAUUUGAAUGUCACCUCACCUCCUGUGUUCAUAAUCUUGGUGGUAGAUGCAGUGGAUCUAAAAAGUAUACUUUUUGCUAAAACAACAUGCAGAAAAAAGCGUAACGCCUCUCCUACUGAAAUUGACAGAACUCUUUACAAGGAUUGACCCUCUCUGGUUUAUCCUACGAUACUGGAUGCCAGAACAUAGCUGGCAUUUAGACUGACCCAUUUAUUAGUAAUUUGUCUAAAAUAGGGUUUCCAAGUGUGUAAUGAGAGAGGAGCUUAGACAAAUCUGGUCUAGUCCAUCCUGAUAUCACUACUAAACCACUGGUACUUAAAGUCAGCUUUUAUCUUAUAACUUCUGGGGUCAAAGAGCCUCCCUAUUUAAUGCCUGAAUCUGGUUUUAAAGCUUCUGUAACCCAAAACCAUCCCAACUUUCCUGUAAUCAGUCUUAUCUCCUCAAUGUUUCAAAUAUACCAAGACCUGGGCUUGUAUCUGAAUGUUUGCUUAUAAUCAUUUAAGUUCCCAUUGCAUUCACUUUUAAUAAAGUCUGUUUUGUUGUUCCAUCCCCUGCUUGCAAAAAUAGAUGCUAUAAAAUGGCUUCAAUGUAGAUUUUCAUAACAAGCAAAGCCCACUUAACGUACCUCUUUAUAAGGAGGAGGGACCGUCACUCAGAUCUCUUUGCUGUAAAACCAGUAUAUUCACUUCUUAGAUAAAUUACUGCUUGUCAUUAGUUGUGUUUCUUUAUCUGUUUUGGCCACUAAGAAACUCAGAAUCACAUAUGCAUCUCUUCUUUAGUACGGCAAAGAUUCUUUCUUUUUCUUUUUUCUUUUUUCUUUUUUUUUUUUUUAUGGCCACAUCCACAGCAUAUGGGAAUUUCUGGGCCAGGGAUCAAAUCUGAGCUGCAGCUGCGACCUAUGACACAGCUGCAGCAAUGCUGGAUCCUUAACCCACUGCACCUUAGUGGGAAUUCUGCAUUGUAUAAUUUAAAUGGGUGAAUCAUAUGGUAUGUGAAAUAUAUCUCAUAAAUAAAGCUGUUAUUUAAAUU